AUUAACAGCUGACGUGAAGACAGGGAAACACAGGGCUUAUAAACAGAAGGAAAUCAAACGAGGAGAACUGAAACAGGGAGUGUCGACGUAAAAGAUGUGGGCGGUUGAAAAGAAGUGUCAUGUCAAAGUCACUCUUUUCACAAUCACACUGCAGUCUAUUCACAUGGAUGAAGUACAUUCACAGAUUUACACAGGGUUUACAUCUACGGCAAGUAGACAUGCUUCAAGAUGGCCUUGCAAAGAGCACAGCAACACUUUAUAUGAUGUCAACGAAACUGGAAAAGCACCGAAAGAAAAAGAGGCAGAAAGUAGGUGCAGUUAAUGUCGUUGUUCACAUUGUUCUGUAAGCACGUUUUGCUAUAAACGCAAGGUAAUGUAAUCUAAAUGUGCAAUGCACUUGACGAAAUGUGUAAAAUUUUGUAGAACCUGAAAGAGCUGACAUCAAUAUGUGCAUUGUAGU
Molecule: long non-coding RNA, 460 nt
Organism: Onychostoma macrolepis
Lineage: Eukaryota; Metazoa; Chordata; Actinopteri; Cypriniformes; Cyprinidae
Exons: 3
Source: RefSeq, a predicted model, not a curated record